AACGAACGCUGGCGGCAUGCCUAACACAUGCAAGUCGAACGAGACCUUCGGGUCUAGUGGCGCACGGGUGCGUAACGCGUGGGAAUCUACCCUCAGGUUCGGAAUAACUCAGAGAAAUAUGAGCUAAUACCGGAUGAUGACGUAAGUCCGAAGAUUUAUCGCCUGAGGAUGAGCCCGCGUAGGAUUAGGUAGUUGGUGAGGUAAAGGCUCACCAAGCCGACGAUCCUUAGCUGGUCUGAGAGGAUGAUCAGCCACACUGGGACUGAGACACGGCCCAGACUCCUACGCGAUGCAGCAGUGGGGAAUAUUGGACAAUGGGCGGAAGCCUGAUCCAGCACUGCCGCUUGAGUGAUGAAGGCCUUAGGGUUGUAAAGCUCGUUUACCCGGGAUUAUAAUGACAGUACCGGGAGAAUAAGCUCCGGCUAACUCCGUG
This 433-nucleotide ribosomal RNA is filed under the name uncultured bacterium. RNAcentral's name for it is "partial 16S ribosomal RNA". It matches the Rfam family "Bacterial small subunit ribosomal RNA", at positions 29 to 507 of the family's 1533-position model. The record is from RNAcentral.